UACGUAGGGGGCAAGCGUUGUCCGGAAUCAUUGGGCGUAAAGAGCGCGUAGGCGGCCCAGCAAGUCCGCUCUGAAAGUCAGGGGCUCAACCCCUGAAUGCGGGUGGAUACUACUGGGCUAGAGUCCGGAAGAGGCGAGUGGAAUUCCUGGUGUAGCGGUGAAAUGCGCAGAUAUCAGGAGGAACACCGAUGGCGAAGGCAGCUCGCUGGGACGGUACUGACGCUGAGACGCGAAAGCGUGGGGAGCGAACAGG
Molecule: ribosomal RNA, 253 nt
Filed under: uncultured bacterium
Lineage: Bacteria
Description: partial 16S ribosomal RNA
Rfam family: Bacterial small subunit ribosomal RNA
Source: RNAcentral